AGAGUUUGAUCCUGGCUUAGGAUGAACGCUGGCGGCGUGCUUAACACAUGCAAGUCGAACGGAGCCUAGCGAGUGCUUGCACUGCGAAAGCUUAGUGGCGGACGGGUGAGUAACGCGUGGGUAACCCUGCCCUGUACUGGGGGAUAACAGUCGGAAACGACUGCUAAUACCGCAUAAGCCCACAUGACCGCAUGGUCAAGGGGGAAAAAACUCCGGUGGUACAGGAUGGACCCGCGUCUGAUUAGCUAGUUGGUGAGGUAACGGCCCACCAAGGCGACGAUCAGUAGCCGGCCUGAGAGGGUGAACGGCCACAUUGGGACUGAGACACGGCCCAAACUCCUACGGGAGGCAGCAGUGGGGAAUAUUGCACAAUGGGGGAAACCCUGAUGCAGCCGACGCCGCGUGAGCGAUGAAGUAUUUCGGUAUGUAAAGCUCUAUCAGCAGGGAAGAAAAUGACGGUACCUGACUAAGAAGCACCGGCUAAAUACGUGCCAGCCGCCGC
RNAcentral lists this ribosomal RNA (502 nucleotides) under uncultured bacterium. Its description in RNAcentral is "bacterial SSU rRNA". It matches the Rfam family "Bacterial small subunit ribosomal RNA", at positions 8 to 518 of the family's 1533-position model. The record is from RNAcentral.